UUCUUCCUUUCUUAGGACGAUUUCUUCUCCCCCUUUUUAGGUCUUUGCCUUCAUUUCCUACGAGCCAUUUACAUUUUGUUCAGAUAGCAAUUCCUUCUACUCUUUUCGUGCUUAAAGUAGGUUUUUUUCCUCCUUGAUUUGAUGGGUAAUAGUUGCUUACCCAUGAUUGCAUGUAAAUAGUUAAAUUACUGUUAUUUUUUUUAAGCAUGCUUAUAAGUAAUUAUAAGUAAGCAUGAUUGAAUCUUUUUGCUUUACAAUUUAUGGUUUUAAUUUGUUGAUGUGGAUUUUAUUUUGGGCAUAUUUUCUUGAAUUGCUUAUCUUACUUGCUCUUAACAGUAUCUGUUGAUUUUUUUGUAUUGCCUUCCAAGUCAUUUACUCAAAUUGUAACUAGAAAAGGCUUACCAUAAUUCGGAUUUACAACUUUUUAAUCCUUUUGGAAGAAGGAUUAGUUCUUCUUUAACUGCUUUUAGCUUUUUUAGAUGCCCAUAAAGAUUAAAAUAGAUAAAUUCAAUAAUAAAACUGUCCAAACAUGAUGCACUUUUCAGUAAAAUCUCAGUUGUAGCUAACUAUUAGAUCAUUAGCUCCAAAAAAGUCAUAAUGGUGAUGGUUUUUAGAUGUGCUGAAAAAUAAGGGGGUGCUGGUUCCAAAUUCCAAUGCUGAUUCAUACUUCCCUUUAUGUGUUGACAACUCAAUGCCCUACAUAUUUGGAUUAUUGAUUGGCAGCAAUUUCUGUUAGGCUGACCUUCUUUUGACAUCUUAAUUUGUUUGAGCCCAGCAAUUUUAAUAUAGAUUCCUAUUAGAACUAUUGAAUCAUUUGUUUUAUGUUUUUACUGAUUAUUAUAAGUUCUUGGUGGCAGUAUGGUAGAAAUUAAAGUCAUUCAGGGUCUUUAAUAUGGAUCAUAGUGAAUUUUUGUUGACAGCUUGAUUUAGUGAGGCUAGGUUGUCUCUAAGUAGUGCUUGAGGGUGAUAUAAGAAGAAAGGGAUUGUUUGGGUUUCUGUAUUUCUUCAAAUGGUAUGAACACCAUUUGACUGACUGGACCCAAAACAAUGUCUUUCUUUUUGUUAUGGAAUCUUAGUUUCAUUAAUUGACAUGUGAUAUAAAAAACUUCUGAAGAAGUUUACUUUAGUUAGCUACCAAGAUACCUCUACCCUAUCAAAAGCACACCAUUAUUUAGAUGCUAGGUGACAAUGUUCAUGCACUAUUAUACCUGCAGUGACAAAGGUGGAUGAUGGGUUUCUGCUCUCUAGAAUUGGAGUUUCAUGGUCUUUCUGGACUUCCAACCUGUUGAAGCCUUCAUGAUCCGCAACAUUGCUAAACUGGUUCCUGCAUUUAACCAGGUUUUUAUUAAAACUUCCUUUUCUUUUUUAUAAUCCAAUCCUUAAUCCAUAUAUGUUGUUUUAAUUAUUCAUGUUUUCUGUAACUAAAACUUUUGGGUUCUUUUCCCACGGUUGAGGUACUCUGGUGUUGGAGCAGGCAUUGAAUAUGCUGUGAAAUAUUUAAAAUACUUCAUAAAUGAGUGGGUCAAAAUCGGUUUACCUGCCAAGCCCAAGGUCCUGACAGAGCAUCCACAUCUCUCACAUGAAGAGCAAUGCCAUAUUUAUGAAAAGGAAGCAGUGAAUCUGUCACUGAUAAACAUUCAGAGCUGCCCAUAUAUUAGAGCAGCAAUGGCUUUGGAAAAUCUACCACUGAAGGAUGGCUAAUAUAAUUUGUUGACGGAUCCUUUGAACUUUGGAAGAUCAAGUAUCACAUUGCAUACCCUACUACCAUAAUUACACGCUGAAGUCUCUCUCCCCAUUUCGUUUUGCUUGCUCUUUUGGUCUAAGCAUGCAUGUGCUUUUUGUUUGCCUUUGGUCUUUGCAAAAAAAAAAAAAAAAAAAAAAAAAAAUAAUAAUAAUGAUAAUUGUUUUCAUAUUAAUGAAUAAAACAAGGAAAUUAAUUUGUUUGGUGAUGAUUUUAUGAGAAAUUCUCAACUGGCUAGGAAUUUCUACCAAGUACCAUGAAGCUGAUAUGAUCAUCUUCAACACAGGUCACUGGUGGACUCACCAAGAGACCAACAAAGGGCAAAUUCCGCUUCUUAUCAAAUUCUUUUAGAGAUUAAAAAUUACAAACCUUUUUAUCAUAGUUAUUACUUACUAUGAUCCAACCAGUUAUCUUUUAUUGUUUGUUAUUGCAGCAAAAAUUACUUCCAAGAAGGCAUUCAUAUCUAUAAGAAGUUAGAAUCCAAGCAUGAAUAUAUAAGAGAGUUCAAUGAGAAGAUUCAAAUUUAUAUAAUAUUUUAUUCUGUUUUUGAAUUGGCUUUGUCAAAAAUUGAUACUAUUUAUGGAUCUUGGAACUGAACAUUUGGAAUUUCUUAGCAAAUAAUCAUAAUAUCUUUGAUCAGUUCGUAAGAAAUCGUUGCAUUUUUGAAUCCGUAUUUCACUUUAGAUUUCCCAACUCACAAACCCCUUAGAGUUCUGAAUUUUUUAGCCAUGCCACAGCCUUGGAAUUUUGUGAAUGGAGAGCAAGUUCCUGCGAUAUCAGCUUCCAAGUUAGAAUUUUUAAUUUAAUAUGUCCUUUUAAGACUCAAUACCCUUUCUUAAUUAUCUAUUCAUUUAAAAUUGUGUAACUAUCCGUCCGUUGCCUCACUUUUUUUUUUCAGAGAUCUGGCUGUGAAGUUUAUAUAUCAGAAGCUACAUAUAAAGACCCUAGGGUCAGCAUGGAGAUCACACACAUGCAUACAUAUAUAUUUGUUCAUAAGAUUUUUUUAUUACUCUAAUUGGCGAUUGAUGCCUCACCAUCUUAAAAGACAAUGUGCAGCUAUCAUAAAUUGAACAAAAGUUCCUCACCGAGGUUUGGUGAUUUCAUAUUGAUAAUCCUGUGGAAUUUCAGGGCUAUGCAACUAGGAAUGUACACGGUUUACACUAAGUGAAAAAAAAAAAAAAGAAAAGUCUCGGCAGGGGGAAGAUGCUCCGGUAUUAUACUUGCAUCUGGAUAUCAAGGCUUGCCAUGGCUUAGGUCUCAAUUUUUAUUUUGGGUUUCAUGUGUUCUCUUUUGAUUGUUAACAAAUCUAAUCUAUCUAUGUUCAAUUAUUGAGCUUAUUUUUCAUUUUGUAUAGACAUUUGGGAUGUUUAUCAUGGGGUUGGAAAUGGUACCCAUGAAGAAAGGAAUUUGGGAAUCAUUUGUAAUUGGAGGAUUUGAUCACAGCUAAAAGCUGCUAAUUUUGUCUGAUUUGAAUUAGAUAUUCACAUAUUUUUUCAAGGGAAAUUAGAAAGUUAUCAUUGUCAUUUAAA
This is a long non-coding RNA of Hevea brasiliensis (rubber tree), 3270 nucleotides long. RefSeq lists it as uncharacterized. The transcript has 3 exons. The record is from RefSeq and is a predicted model, not a curated record. Lineage: Eukaryota; Viridiplantae; Streptophyta; Magnoliopsida; Malpighiales; Euphorbiaceae.